This 433-nucleotide ribosomal RNA is filed under the name uncultured bacterium. RNAcentral describes it as "partial 16S ribosomal RNA". It matches the Rfam family "Bacterial small subunit ribosomal RNA", at positions 29 to 507 of the family's 1533-position model. The record is from RNAcentral.
AACGAACGCUGGCGGCAUGCCUAACACAUGCAAGUCGAACGAGACCUUCGGGUCUAGUGGCGCACGGGUGCGUAACGCGUGGGAACCUGCCCUUAGGUUCGGAAUAACUCCCCGAAAGGGGUGCUAAUACCGGAUAAUGUCUUCGGACCAAAGAUUUAUGGCCUUUGGAUGGGCCCGCGUUGGAUUAGCUAGUUGGUAGGGUAAAAGCCUACCAAGGCGAGGAUGCAGAGCUGGUCUGAGAGGAUGAUCAGCCACACUGGGACUGAGACACGGCCCAGACUCCUACGGGAGGCAGCAGUGGGGAAUAUUGGACAAUGGGCGAAAGCCUGAUCCAGCAAUGCCGCGUGAGUGAUGAAGGCCGUAGGGUUGUAAAGCUCUUUUACCCGGGAUGAUAAUGACAGUACCGGGAGAAUAAGCUCCGGCUAACUACGUG